GCAUUUCCUGGCUCAACUACAAUACCAGAAUAAACAGUGCUAAAUUUUCCGAUUAUCACAUUCAACUCUGUCAUAUUGCGAAUUUUAACAUACCACAUCACAUAAUUAUCUAUACAAACGACAGAACUCAUGACACAUAAUUUAAUUUGCAUAAGUAAAUUCAAACAGAAUUAGUGUCGCAGAUACUCCUAUAGAGGCUUAAACGUGCAUGGGAUCUUUCCGAGACUAAAACAAAUUAAAUUGGAAAAAGGUGAAAAAAAUCCACAAAAACAAGACCACACAGACAAAAAAAAAACGCAGCAUAUAUGCCACAUUUCUACGUAAAAACCAGCAGCCAUUUAUGUAUAUAUAUAUGCGACACUUGCAUGUAAAACGAAUAGCAGUAAACAAAAUAUAGAAACAAGCAAUAGCAAUUAUAAUAUAUAAGAGGUAAUUCCAUCAAAAUUAGAAACUUAAUACCAUCAACAUUAGCAACUAUAUAUUCAUCUAUCAAAAAAAAAAUUAGUACAGCCUAGAAAAUCUGCACUAAUUGCAUACAUUUUUUUUUCAAUUUCUGAUUUCAAAACUGCCAUAGCUACUAAUUGACAAAUCCUGCUCUUGCCUAAGUCGAUGAAUCAUUUUAACGGAAGAACAUUCAAAUGUAGCCAAAAAUCAACUGCAAGGUCAACAAAUUUGAUCCAUUUCCCAUGACCACAAGCAUAUAAUAUGGGAAAUUAUCUGUAAAACCAAUUGCCAGCAACUAACAAUAAGAAGUAGCAUUAUUCUAAUUACAAUGAAGACAAUCAAUGUGAAGGGAGAAGCAAGUGUACAAAUAUGACUAGGUAGCAACCGCCUAUUAGCGUAGAAAGGACAGUAAAAUAUGGCUUAAGUGCAGCGCGCGCACACACAUACGAAAACAUUUAACGAAGUCUCACACACACACUGAUCACAAAUGAUUAGAACUCACACUUUAAAAACACGAUUCCUAGCCCAAAGAUCGACCGAUUCGUCUACACCAAACCGAGCUGAAAA
Molecule: long non-coding RNA, 1011 nt
Filed under: Gossypium barbadense (sea-island cotton)
Lineage: Eukaryota; Viridiplantae; Streptophyta; Magnoliopsida; Malvales; Malvaceae
Description: long non-coding RNA (GBAR_LNC017981)
Source: RNAcentral